This 255-nucleotide unclassified non-coding RNA is filed under the name Hevea brasiliensis (rubber tree). The record is from RNAcentral. Lineage: Eukaryota; Viridiplantae; Streptophyta; Magnoliopsida; Malpighiales; Euphorbiaceae.
AGUUUGGGUAUAAAAAAAAUAAUGGGAGGGACUAAAAAAUUAAUUGAAUCAAAUUACAUGAACUAUCUAAUGUGUUUUUCAAAAUGUAAAGAUCAAUUAAUUUAUUUCACUAAAAUAGAUGGACUAAAUAUUAGUUUGAUUGGGAUUAAAUCCUUUGAUUAAUAGAAAAUUUGACAGAGGGACUAAAAUAUUUUUAACGAAAGUAAAAUACAGGAACUAAAUAGUAUAUUUUUAAGAUACAAGGAUUAAGUAGUU